CCCUUAGAUGUUCUGGGCCGCACGCGUGCUACACUGAGUGGAUCAGCGGGUCAGGUUGCGCGAAAGUGUUUCCUAAUCUUGAAAUCCGCUCGUGAUGGGGAUUGACGGUUGCAAUUUUCCGUCAUGAACGAGGAAUACCUUGUAAGCGCGGGUCAUCAUCCCGCGCUGAAUACGUCCCUGCCCUUUGUACACACCGCCCGUCGCUCCUACCGAUUGAGUGGUCCGGUGAGGCUUUGGGAUCUGAGCAAAGAGAGCGUUUCUCUCGUUUUGCCCGGAAAACUCAGUCGAACCUUAUCAUUUAGAGGAAGGAGAAGUCGUAACA
RNAcentral lists this ribosomal RNA (322 nucleotides) under uncultured eukaryote. RNAcentral's name for it is "partial 18S ribosomal RNA". It matches the Rfam family "Eukaryotic small subunit ribosomal RNA", at positions 1470 to 1796 of the family's 1831-position model. The record is from RNAcentral.